Long non-coding RNA from Macadamia integrifolia, 695 nucleotides. RefSeq lists it as uncharacterized. The record is from RefSeq and is a predicted model, not a curated record. Lineage: Eukaryota; Viridiplantae; Streptophyta; Magnoliopsida; Proteales; Proteaceae. The transcript is spliced from 2 exons.
AAGAAAAAAAAAAAACCCUUAGAAUCAUAUUGUCAAAUUGUAGUGUGCUAAAUUCAAUGUGAAUUUAUUCUUCCUUUAAUGUUCAAAAAUUUCGAAUAAAUGUUUUUGGACUAUAAAUUGAAGCACUAUGGAUUUCGUGUACCCACACAUACCUAAUGAAGUUUGAAGAAGGAAAGGAAUUGUAAGUGUUCAUCAGAAAAAGAGGUAUGAAGGGAGGCGGUGGAAGAAACAUUAGAGCAGUUGUUGUGAUGAUGUUUUUACUGAUGCUUGUGCCUUCACAGCAUGCCUUUGUAUCUCUUCCCAGAUGCUUGCGUUGCGUCAAAUGCCUGCUACAAAAUUGGGACAAUAUACAUUCAUGCGGUCCUGUAUGUGUGGGCUGUUCUGGAGUCUCUCAUGCUUCCCUUAAUUCAGAUUCAAAUUCCAAUUGUAUCAUUGACUGUGCCCAAUCCUUGUGCUCCACUUAUAUUAGUGAUGAUGAAAAAUUGGAAGGGUGCAUGACUUCUUGUUCCAAAAGUUGUAGCAGCAACUAAGGCAAUCCACUGAAUAAAAUGCAAGUCCCAGAUAUUGUAGUUAAAAUCUUCAAAUAUGAUAUGAGAAACUUUGGGAUUAAAGAAUAGUGUAAUCUGUAUAAUAAAGAGCCUUGAUACAUGCUAGAAGGCUAUUUAAUUAAUAAAAAUGAUUUGCCAAUUUAUCUA